This is a long non-coding RNA of Camellia sinensis, 1481 nucleotides long. RefSeq lists it as uncharacterized. The record is from RefSeq and is a predicted model, not a curated record. Lineage: Eukaryota; Viridiplantae; Streptophyta; Magnoliopsida; Ericales; Theaceae.
CAGAAAUGAAAUGACCACUCCUCUCUCUCUCUCUCUCUGCACAGUUUAUAACUUCAGUUGCUUCCCCUUUUGCUGGAAAAAAAUUCUGAUUCUGAAGACGAUGAUCUGAUCUUCUCUUUACUCUUAAAGCACUUCCCAUAAAUCAGAACAAGUCCACUUUCUCAAGAACUCUCUCUGAUUGCACUAUGCUUCAAUCUCAGAUCCAUCUAAGCUAAGAAUGUUGCAGAACUUAUAAAGACUGAAGGAGAGUCACCACUAUCAGAGUCAGAUUCUGAUGAAGAUUGAGUAAAAAAGCUUAGAAGAUCCCAGAAGAAGAAGAUAAAGAUCACAACACACGCAGAUCUUUGCUUCCAUGGAUUUUUUCACAGUACCACUACCACUACCACCACCAAGCAACAUUCCCCACAUUCCAAAAAUAAUCACCACCACCACCGCCAACAACAAGCAUUUCAUCAACAAGACUAGUAUCAACUUCAGCUUCACCUUCUGUUCCUAGCCAGUACGAGAGCCAGAAGCGCCGAGAUUGGAACACCUUUGGGCAGUACUUGAGAAACCACAGGCCUCCACUCCCACUCUCCAUGUGUUCUAGUGCUCAUGUCCAUGAAUUCCUUCGAUACCUCGACCAGUUUGGAAAAACCAAAGUCCAUAACCAAACAUGCCCUUUCUUUGGGGUCCCUAACCCACCUGCACCAUGCCUUUGCCCUCUCAGGCAAGCCUGGGAAAGCCUCGAUGCUCUCAUAGGCCGCCUUAGAGCGGCCUAUGAAGAGCACGGUGGGAAACCCGAGGUGAAUCCGUUUGGGGCAAGAGCAGUGAGGCUUUUCUUGCGUGAGGUUCGCGAUUUUCAAGCUAAAUCUAGAGGGAUUAGUUAUGAGAAGAAGCGAAAGCGGUCGAAGGAGAAGGUACCACCACUGCAACAACCUCCUGUCGCAACUCAGUGAUGUACACUACUCUGCACUAUGGAGUAGCAUUUAUUAAGCGAAAGCGGUCGAAGUAAGUUUUUAUGUAAGAAUUUAUUAAUUGCACCUAGAUGAUGGUUUUAAAUAAGGGUUACCAGCAUCAGACGUUUAAAAUUUAGAUAUGUAUAUGUAUGAGCCGUUAUUUAAGAACUUUGACCUAGAUGUUCUAUAUGGGAAUUUUUAUAUCUUCUAUAUUCUAUGCUUAAUUUCCAUUUUGAUGGACAAUUAGAGCAUGUAGAAAUGGUCAUUUUUUUUGUGUGUUUUACUUGUUAGGUUUGUUCAAGACCAUGACUCGUGGAUAUGCAAUCUCUCCAGUUUGCUGUUAUUGGAAACAGUAGGGUUUGGGACUACCAAGAAUAGAAAUAUAGAAAUAUAAGACGAGUUUCCAGUGAAGUAGUAACAAAUGGCAGGCUACAUUGUAUGCAUAUCAUGUACGGCUAUAUAAUAUGUACUUGAAAAUUUGUUACAUUUUAAACAUUUGCAAUUCAAGUUUCAUAGCAUUAGUUAUUAUCUUCAUAUUCCAAA